AACAGUGUUUUAUUGCUGUCUAUGAACCAUAUGGCCACAGGCAAUUUUCGGGCCAGUUUUCUUGGAAAAAAAAAAAAGAAGAAGGUGCGUUUUAGAAUCGGGUAAACACUGUAAUCAUUCAUUGUGAGCUACCAUUUUCACUUGAAAAUCAUCUUGGGGCAGGUUGAAAAAAGGCGUUCUUUGUGAGGGUGACGUUUUUUCUGUGCAUUCACUGUCCCUUAAACUCCACCAAAAAUGACACUGCCGCUAAAGGGGUCGCUAUUGGGUUCACCAUAGGGAACAGGUGCGUGUGUGUUGACCAGUCAAGUUCGAAUUAUCUGUAGAAGGCCAAUCUUGGUAUCGAACUAACAAACGUUUAGGCCCAUAGAAAUGUAUGGGUGCCAGUUGAGUCGAGAUUGAAUUAACAAAAAAAUCUAAUUAAGUGAAUUCAAAUUAAUAGAAGUCUACUGUAUUGAGAUUAAACUGUAUGUAGAACCCUACUGUAUGUAAAAAACCCUACUAGCAGUGUUUUCUACACAGCUCAUAUUGCUGCUGCUAAAAAGGUAUGCUCUGUAAAUGAAAUGGUUCAUGACCUUUGGUCGUGCGCUGAAAUUCUAAAAAAUUCUGAGAAUUUUUAUUCUAAAGGUGGGUUUUACGUUCUAGGUUGUGGGAUAAAUGUGUCUCGGUAGUUCUUUUACACGAAAACCCGCACUGCAACAUGAAUAUGCGUUCGGGCAUUCUUCGUCUAGAACCAAUUUUUAAGCCGAAUGAGCCACUAGAAACCGUUCCCCAUUUCUUGUCUCCAGAAUUUCGAGGAUGCUUAAGCUUUGCCUUAAGAGUUGAGCGCAAUAGCAUUCGACGAUCCUUGACUACUUCUCACGCUUCCCAGCAGCUGCAGCUUAUGUAACCGUGAUGUUUACCGGGAAAUGCUGGCGGUGAACACCAUGCACAAAGGGCAGCCUUUUGUAUGGGCCGAUCUUGUGUUAUUGUUUUGCACUUUUAAUAUUUCGGUUUGAGAAGAUUUAACGUAAACGGCAAGCACUGUCCGUGUUUUGUUUCAUGACAUUUGUUUGUGGGGUGUCAUCCUCAAAAUUCCGAGGAAUAACUUUGUAAAGAAUGAAAGACAAAGUGUGUAAGACAAAGUUGGUAAAAGAAGUAUUUAGUGUCCACGGAGGGCCUGCUUGGUUGUGGUUCGGAAUGAUUUUUUGUCAAACGACGGUCGGCGCAGACACCGGAUUUUUUGCGACACAGGGCCCUUAACACUAUGGCGUUAAAAUGGUGAUGCUCACACUCAAGGCAGGUAGUAAAAGAGCUGCAAAAUCAUUUACACGUUUCUUUAACCUCAGCUUGCUCAAUCGAAUGUGAGUUCAAUGGCAACAUUCAAGUCGAGUGGAGAGGCACGAGUGCAAGUUUCUGAAUACAGUUGAACCGAGAUAUAUCGAAUCUGAAGGGGAUCACAAAAAAGUUUUAUGUAUAGGUAAUUUUAUAUAUAAAAUAAAUAUUUUGUACACAAAUAUAAAAGGGGGUUUUACUGCUGUUUGUUAUACACAAUAAUUAGUUACUUGUAGGUUCGAUAUAUCCGGGUUCGACUGUGUUGUCUAUUUGAUUAGCACAUUGCUGUUCUGAUUCUCAGUUGGUUUCAAGGUGUACGAGUUUCACCAAUGUUCGUUUCUCACCUUUUACAAAUGGACCUUGACAUAUUCAAAGCAAGCUUUCUGUGACCCUUGGGAUUACACUUGUGACUCCAGUAUUGUAAUGUGGAGGUGGUUAACUGUUGUCUUAACUUAAGUCAUUGAUUUAGUUGAAGAGGUAAUCUUUAAAGUGAAGUACAAAACCUUUGCUGCAGCUCUUUUGAUAGGCAAAGUGUGCAGACCACUUUCAAAGGGGUUCUGCUUUUAUGCUGUGUAUUUCAAUUCACUCAUUUGCAUUUACUGGAAACUUUAUUUCUUAGGAUGGCACAAAGGUAGCAUAUGAUUGGGAGAUGUUGCAAUGCACCUCUCAAGGCUGUGUACUCUGUGUACUCUGGCUGUGAUUGUGAAAGUUUGCUCAUUUUGUGGCAUCAGUAUACUGUGGGCCUGUUAGGCACAUAAACACAGGCUUUGGAAAGUAAAAACUCAUGUAACGCCCCCAUGUGCUUUGCUUUGGGUCGCUCGGCAGUGGUACCACAAGCUAUGCCAACUGCACCUGUAGCAUUGGAAUUUCUGCGGGCAUGUGGCGUGCCAUUAUGUUGGCGAUGAGUCGGCACUCUGUACUGCAACAAUGUGGCAUGACUGAUGUGUGUGCAUUAGCAUUCAAAACACUCACUGCACAUCUUCCACUAUCUCGGAACUCUCUGAAGCAGGUGCCAUGCAUAAUACAUUGCAUGCCAGCAUGGCUAGUUGGUAACUUAAAGCUGAUGCAGGAGAGGUAAAAUGCUGGUGAGCGAGACCUUGCAUAGCUGAUUCGACACCACCUCCUGGCACCUCGAUAAGUUUCAGCCUUUGUGGAUGACUUGAUGUCUGGAAAGUGCAGCACAUUCGAAGCAGGACGUCCGUGAUGAUUGGCACUUUCAUUUCUUGUAAAGCUUAUCUUGCGGUGGGCGUAUUGGCCUAUGAAGCCAUAUUGCCUUGCAUGUAGACCCGGAAGUUACUGUGUUUUUGUGUGUACAAGUCGCACCAAAACUUCCACGAAGUCCAAGAUGCAUGGAUUCCGUCUUCAUAUGUAGCUUCCAGGCAGUGCAGAGUGCACUGUUGUAAAGCAGCAGUAAAAACAGUGAUGACUGAACAUAGAAAACAAGGUUACCUUGCAACAUGCGGCCACUUUAAUAAAAUUUAAUGUUGUGUGCGUUUAUUUGUGAGGGUUUCAUUCACGGAAAUACGCAUUAAAUAUAAGUGGUAUUGGCUAAGUGCAGCAUGCACAAUGUCGACUGCUGGUGUUGAAUGCUUCAAACCCAUUGGUAUCAUAUCUGAGCCUUAAGAACUACAGUAUAGACCACUUAUAACGUAACUGCUUAUAGUGCAGGACCGGAUAUAGUGCGGUCUUUUCAGACUCCCAUUAGUUUUCCCGUAGCACUCCAUGUAUACACGUAUCGCUUAUAGUGCAGUUGCGGGAAACGAAAUACCGGUUACAGUGCGGCUGCCUGGGAGUACGGAAGUCAGCGGAGACGGCGAACGCUCCCCUCAAACGGGCGCCCCAAGGAAUGCUCAAGGAAGAAAGAGAGACGAAGUGGAGGAGAAGGGCACGUGGCGCGAACGAACAGCCAGUGAGGCUGAAACCAGAAUCUUGAGUGCAAGUCGUGAAAUAUCACGGCGCGCAUAGCAAGCGAGGGCCACGAAACUGCCAACACCGGCCAACGCUUGCUUCACGAUAACGGCAGUAAACGAAACUUCAGGGAGCGGGCGGCGCUGGCACAGCAUGGCAAAGGGUGCACGCGGAGACCGUGGAAUGUGAGGGAGGAGGGCGGCAGGGAAGCGGAUUUCGCCUCGGCAACUCCGCCGCUUCGGUGGCUCCCCUCGCCCUCCCUCGUAGCUCCCUCACUUUCGACUGUCACCGUGCGCACCUGCCGCCGCUCCAGCCGGCCCUGCGCAAGCUCCCCGAAGUUUCGUUUUCUGCCGUUAUUGGGAAGCAGGCGUUUGCCGGCGUGGGCAGUUUCGUUGGCCAAUCUGGGACAGCGCCGCUGCUUCCCUCUGCGCCGUAGCCGCAGCGUGCAAGGUCAACACGUGACUAGAAAGUAGAGGAAGCAUAAAGGAGAAAGAAGGGUUCACUGCCAUUUUCUACGCGUGGCUACGGUAGCAUGGCUGAGACGUCGGCACGUACACGCAUGAUUCGGCGCAACGCAGAAUCGGCUGCCUUGCCAUUUUAGAGAGGUUGAAAUUUCCGCCGCGUUUUUUUUUUUCUUUCUUUUUUUUUUUUUUUGUUCGCGCGCGACACUGAGGAGUCUCUCCUAAGCUUUUACUCUAUGGCGGUGCCGGAGCAAUGCCGGUUGGAGGCGCCGCCGUGUGAUUUGGUUCGAAUUAACGAGAUUCGACUGUAAAUUGAAUGCAAACGUUCUAGCCGCAUUCCUCGACUGUCGCAUACGCAUGGCGGCUCGGUGCACAUGUUUUGCAUAUGUGCGGGCCUUGAAAAUUGUUGCUUUGGUUAUAGUGCGGAUAUUCGCGACUCCGGCGACAUACGUUAUAAGCGGUCUACACUGUACAAGGAACAGCACCUAGUGUGAUGGCGCCUUAUCUGUGUUUUGCCCUGCCAGCAUAUUUCUGAUGAAGUACACUCUGAGGCUGCUUAUGUUACAACACAGAAUAGUGCUGUAGAUAACAAAAGUGUUGUAAUAGUUUUCUGAUAGUUGGCAGGACCACUCUGCGUUUCAUUAUGCUAAAGAAAAGCAUGCCAUUUAUUCUGUCCAUUUAAAAUAGAGGAGCAUAACGAUGAUCCAAACAAUGACUUUCAAGGAAGCGACUGACAAAAACGUUUAUUACAUGUUUUCUUUUGUUUCUUUAAUAACAUUGAUGGCAAAACCCACCAGACAUAUCGUAACUAAUGUGUUUUUCACAAGAAAAAGUGUAUUUGUCAACUGUAAGCCUCUCAAGGAGUGGACUUCAGUGACGUAACUGGAAAAACGAAUUUGCUAGAUUGUACUGUGGCUUGUUGCUAGGUUAAUGGUGUCAUAUUGCGUGGCAACUAUGACAAGCGUUCAUAAAGCAGUCCGGUGUGUGUAUUUGUUUCUGUAAAAUUUUAUAAAAGUACCGUAUUUUCUGGUAUGUAAGUCGCGGUUUUCUUCUGAAUUUUUCGUUGCUUAAGCUUAUGGAAUAGGGCGACUUAUAUGCGUUUUUUUUUUUUUUUUGAAGAACUGCCGUCAAAAUUGGAUUGGAUGCUAUGACAACGCGAAGUGCGCUCGUUUGUCCUGCUCUGGCAGUUGCUACAGGUUGUGUGCGCGCUAUGGAGGUACCCGGUUCAUCUCAUGAUGAGUUGUGGAGCGCCGUGCGAGAAGGCCAGAGCAGCAGCGCAAGUGGAGGCAGGCCGACUGCGAGUCGACCACCCCCAAGUCUUCGCAUCUGCAGAUCGCUUGCAAGAUACGGUGCGUGCUGCUGCGCAAACUGCACAGUUGCUACCAGAGUACAAGUCACGCCCCCUCGAUCCCUCCCACGCUGCCUUCCUGCUUUUCUCCCUUGUGCUCGAUUCGACUCACCGUCGCACGCUUUCGCUCUCACAUACAGCAUACAGCACGCGGGUACGAUGUUAUCGCCCUUGGACCUUAUACGGAACAUUGCAGCGACCACGACGAUAGAAAUGCUCCUGGAGUGUCCAUAUCAUUGCUAUCGCAAUUAUAUAGGAAUGGCACCCAUACGCUUGCACGUGACCUGCGUUCACUAAGCAAAAUGCCUCUGUAAUUUUUUUUAAUUGCUUACCAAAUGAACAGGUGCGUCUUUUACACUGGUGCGACUUUUAUACUUUUUUUUUCGGUAAAACUGUCGUUUUGAGGGGGGUGCGACUUAUAGACCGGAAAAUACAGUAAAUAUAAAAAGUAGCAUUAGUAAUCUAUUAUACUUUCUGACAAUUUCAUAUCAAAGUAAUGACGUCACAUUGGCCUGAUUACAGGUUGUGGAAAUCGGAAGAGCCCUGUAUUUUUUAAAUAUUCCACUCAUUUUUCUUUUUUAUCUGUAAUUCGUAGGCAGCCCUAUUGAAUUUAGUGAUUAGAACAGCUGGAUUGUCUUAAGCUGCAUGAGCAUUGCAAGGAGCUUUCAUAUAAAGUUGAACCAAAGUUUACAAAUGACAAGCACAUAAUACUACAAGGAUGGGGUGGGUAACAUAAUGUUGGCAAUUCUCUCAUGCAUACUGCAAGAAGUUGUGUCAAUGUAAAGCUUUUGAACAACACUGAUAACAAUAGAAGGCCCAGUUAUGUUUAUUUUGCUGCCUUUUAUAAUAUAAAGAAACUGCAUGCAUAGGAAGUUCUGGUUUAUUGUGUUUUAGUAAUGGAAUUAACACUGCAAUAUGUUGCUGCAACAGAUGUGAAACACAAGAGGAUUUUAUGAUCACUGUAUCCAGUUAUUAAAAGUGGCAAAUGUUAGGUAGAACGACAAUGAUAUCAUUAUCAUUGAUAAGGAUAAUGUAUGACAAUGAUCGCUGGCAUAAAUUCAUAGCAGUGGCUGGGAAAAAAGGAUCCAUGAAGAACAUUAAAAGCAGAAGCAAUCCGCAUUCUCAUUAAGGCAGUGCCGCAUUGUGGAAAAAUUCACAGUGGUUUAAGAAUUGUGACUACAGAUUUUCCUCUAGUAAGCUUAGUGUAAGACUUCUAUGCUGUGUGUAUCGACUGUUAAUAACAUUAAAGGGGCUCUAAAACACCUUUUCCUAAGACAUGAGAAACACAUUCGAAUAGCUGCAGUCACUUUCAAGGAAUAUACCGUCUGUUCCUGAAAGAAUUUGUUGAGAAACAAACCUAAUACAAAUGGAGGAAUUAGGAGCAUAAUAAUUAUUUUCUAGAUUUCCCCACGACUCAUUCAUUCUCCUCAGCAGGGGUAGUGCUGGUAAAAUUGUCCAGCUAUCGUGUGCUUCACGUUUCCUUUUUUUCUUUUUUUUUGUUUGAUGGUCUUCUGACAGAUUGCCAAGAGCGAUGGGACAAGCGUAGCACGUUACGAACCAUUGCUUCUCUGUUUCCUGGUUAUCUGACAGAUCCGGAAUGCACGAGCUUGUGUGUGUUAGUAAUUUGUGGUCACAAACGAUUGCCCAAUGACCGGUGUCCAUGGGCUGCUCCCUCCUGACAUCAUCAUCAUCAGCCUAUAUUUAUGUCCACUGCCACCUGACAUAGUCGGUGGCAGUUCCGAAAAUGGUGGGGAGGAGCCUUUUCUUUGAAAAGAUUAGAAAUUAUGCGCUCUUUGCUGGCUCUAUGUAUCAAGUAUACCUACAAACUUGCCUAAGAUGUUCACAGCUCCAUGGUGUACUCACAGAAUGUGUUUAGUUGCCUAGCUCAAGGGGUAGUUAUUCUUAAACAUAAUUUAACAGAAUGUAAGAAACAGCAAACAGCACAUAAAUAAAUUGCAGUGUUUGAAUAGUUCAUCUUGAAGUUAAUGUCAUUUUAACGACUUGUCCAAUGGCCUAAAUUUUGAAAUUUGGUGUGAACUGUAUUGUUGCAAGGUAGAUAAUUCCAAAAUGUAGAGGUGAAAAAUGGGUCUGUAGUAAUAUAUAUAGAGGCACUGGUGUUUAAACUACUUAGGCAGCAUGCAUAAUUUCUGGCCUCACUUCUUCCCCUCCUCUUCUAUCUCCCCCCAUAGCUUAUGAAAUUAAAGAAAAGUGUAAAAUUUUGAGUGCUUGCGCAUCGACUAUCUUUCAAAAGCAGAUCACCAAAGCUGUGUGCUAGAGAUGGUGGCCAUGGUGUGGCAAUGUUAGGGGCAGCACUGUAAUUAGUGAUGCCCGCAAGCUUCUGCAAUCUCAUAUUUCUUUAGCCCUCUUUCAGUUUUGGCAUGUCUUGGGAUGUCUAGCAAACUACUAUUUCCGAUUUCUUCAGGUUCUGCAAAUUUCCACCAACCAUGAGCUAAGUUUUCAUGAUCAGCAAACUCCAAAAGGCGCCCCCUUAUUAUGCUAUGACGCCAUCAAAUUUCUGUAUUGGUACUCGAGGAAAGGGAGAUUGAGGCUAUCCAAUUAAGGCCAGUGGUUUUAUACCCGUGCUUUCCAGAUUAGCACUUGAUGCUUGUAAUAGAAAUGCAGUCUGUUGAAAGAGCUUGUAUGGCUGAAAUAUAGCUUUGAGGAGAAGUGAACACACAAUAUUUUUAAUUGUUUGUGUCACUUGUUUGUUUGCCCUCAUGUCAAUUUCCUUUUAGUAUUUUCAUGACUACUGGGGGUAUUUAAAGGCACCUAAAAUCUCUCUGACAGUGCAAUGUAUUCCAGUAUGCUAGACACCAUGGGGUUUUAUUUAAAGGGGUACUGACACAUUUUUGAAGCUGUAAAAGCUCUACCACAUUCGUACUUGCUAUUCGUCUACCACAUAAAGGAUGACGCUUAGCAAGUACGAAGGUUGGGAAAACUUGCAAGUUAUUUUAAUUUGAUACUUGAGUUGUUUUCGAGACGCUGGACCCUGAGUCAUCGACAUUAUCGUGACGUCAUGACGGAGCAAAAUUUUCUUACAUCGUAACAAUAGGGCUAGGUAUUAUGACAUUGCUCAUAAAAAAAUGUUUCUGCAGAAACCAUCGACAGUGAUUGUCAGUGCAAGCGAAUAGCGAAACGCUUCAAGAAAGCUAUUCGCUUUCUUGGUGUGCUUGAUAGCAUUAAAAAAAAAAUUCACUUUUUUUUGUGGCUGUGGCUACAUUGUUGCAAAUACAUUAUGAUGUAACAUAGUUUAGCGCUGUUGCCAGCGAAAAUCGCUUUCAUUGUUCUGUGUCGUUUGGCCCCUGCGUGUUAACAGUGCUUUGAUAUUUCAUGCCAAGUCUUCCAGUGAGCAGGUUCAUCAAGUUCUGUUAUGCAGCCUUUGUGCCUUUCUUUCUUUCUUUCCUCUGUUGUACAUUGUUUGCAUAUUUAUUGUCACGAAAAUCACUGUACGCCAUGUAAAUAUGCAUGUUGGCAAAGGAUAUGUAGGGAUGUUUAGCAAGCAUCCACAUACAGGUAGAGCACUUGUCAUUUUAAGCGCCGUCAUCUGAGAAAGUCACCGAUCAUGAAACAGCUAGAAUCAAUGCUUCUAUGUUACUGUGUCAUUUGCUAUAAAAGGUGGAUUCAGACGACGGGACCGAUCGCUAAAUCAUUUGGCAUGCAAGCGUAAUGUGGCUGAGCUGCAAUGAAUAGUGCUGCGGGCAGCUUGUCUACAGCGUGAUUCAACAAUGCAUUUCCACAGACUGAAUUGACAAUCUGUCCCAUCAUGUGAAUCCAGCACGAACUACUGCGUCAUGUGCCAUGCUUUUUCAUUGCCUUCUGCACCCACUACUGUGUAUAAGACGACACAGAGGUCGAGCAUGACGUGGCCUCCGAGAUGCUGCAUGGACUCCAAGUCUCUGAGACAAGGCAUGACCAUCCUUCAUUAUCUGCUGCGUGGCGACAAGCAUGACAAAGUUUGACAAGAGGGUGCUGUGUUCAGAAACCAUGAUGUGUGUGACCACCCUCUGUUUUCUACUGUGGGGCAGUACAUGCGACUGAAUUAGCCCAGGGGUGGUAUUCUUGGGCAAUCACUCUCUGGGGCACGCUCACUUUUGCAGUAUAUUUUGCGUGACUAGCUCUGGACUCCGAACACAUUGGCAUCUACGAGCGACAAUGUUGCUGGCACUGUGCCAAGAUGGCAUGCUUGGGUUUGUCAUGAACGUUGUUGCUCGUAGGCACCAAAUCGUUUGGCAGUGAAAGUAUCCCCAAAAGUGACCAUCCGAGACUACCAUUCUGUUUGGCAUAACAAGUGGCAGAAAGGAGUCUUGUUUUCUUGGGGCUGUUAGGCACAGUUUGACAACUGGCACUAAUUUAGUAGCAUUGGCCAGUACACCAUCUAUGUGUCAGCUGGUGCUGUAACAUACUUUUGACCAGUAGUUUCAACUGUUAGUUUCUUGUGAGACGGCAUACAACAAAACAAGCAGCAGCGUAUGUGUGCGAUGCUUAAGCGCUACAGAAGCUGUGCCAUACAAAUCAGCAACGGAAAUGCUGGCUAAGUGGACUUUUGCUCUUUUUUGGCCGUGCCAUUCCGGUUGCUAAAGUGUGGGCUGUACAUAAAAUUUUUAUAGGCUCCGAAGGAUUACAACCUCCUGUGCAGCACGGCUUGAAAGCUACAUCACACAGUUCAUUGUAGCAAUGGGUGACCAUUUUAAUAGUCUUAUCACCACAGAUGACGUUUAAUCUUGCAUGUCACAAAAACACUAAUUUCAAAAUAUUUUUAGCAGUGUUUUUCAUGAUGAGUUUGAUUAGACGUUUGGCUAAACGAGCCAUCACAGUUUCUUGGAACCAGAAAUUUUACUGUAAAAAAUUUGUUGAAUUUACAAGUGUGCUCUGGGCCUUGCGCAAAAGGGCAAUAAAAAGCUUUUUGAAACAAA
This is a long non-coding RNA of Dermacentor silvarum, 9941 nucleotides long. RefSeq lists it as uncharacterized. The record is from RefSeq and is a predicted model, not a curated record. The transcript has 2 exons. NCBI's taxonomy places the organism in Eukaryota, Metazoa, Arthropoda, Arachnida, Ixodida, Ixodidae.